RNAcentral lists this ribosomal RNA (497 nucleotides) under uncultured bacterium. RNAcentral's name for it is "partial 16S ribosomal RNA". It matches the Rfam family "Bacterial small subunit ribosomal RNA", at positions 899 to 1397 of the family's 1533-position model. The record is from RNAcentral.
ACUCAAAUGAAUUGACGGGGGCCCGCACAAGCGGCGGAGCAUGCGGAUUAAUUCGAUGCGACGCGAAGAACCUUACCUGGGUUUGACAUGCACUGAAAAGCGGCAGAGAUGUCGUGUUCUUCGGAGUGGUGCACAGGUGGUGCAUGGCUGUCGUCAGCUCGUGUCGUGAGAUGUUGGGUUAAGUCCCGCAACGAGCGCAACCCUCGUUCCAUGUUGCCAGCACGUUAUGGUGGGGACUCAUGGGAGACUGCCGGGGUCAACUCGGAGGAAGGUGGGGAUGACGUCAAGUCAUCAUGCCCCUUAUGUCCAGGGCUUCACGCAUGCUACAAUGGCCGGUACAACGGGUAGCGAUACCGUAAGGUGGAGCGAAUCCCUAAAAGCCGGUCUCAGUUCGGAUCGGGGUCUGCAACUCGACCCCGUGAAGUCGGAGUCGCUAGUAAUCGCAGAUCAGCAACGCUGCGGUGAAUACGUUCCCGGGCCUUGUACACACCGCCCGU